RNAcentral lists this ribosomal RNA (449 nucleotides) under uncultured bacterium. Its description in RNAcentral is "partial 16S ribosomal RNA". It matches the Rfam family "Bacterial small subunit ribosomal RNA", at positions 330 to 793 of the family's 1533-position model. The record is from RNAcentral.
UCCAGACUCCUACGGGAGGCAGCAGUGGGGAAUAUUGCACAAUGGGCGAAAGCCUGAUGCAGCAACGCCGCGUGAAGGAAGAAGGGUUUCGGCUCGUAAACUUCUAUCAACAGGGACGAAAGAAAUGACGGUACCUGAAUAAGAAGCCCCGGCUAACUACGUGCCAGCAGCCGCGGUAAAACGUAGGGGGCAAGCGAUAUCCGGAUUUACUGGGUGUAAAGGGAGCGUAGACGGCAAUGCAAGCCAGAUGUGAAAGCCCGGGGCUCAACCCCGGGACUGCAUUUGGAACUGUGUAGCUGGAGUGUCGGAGAGGCAGGCGGAAUUCCUAGUGUAGCGGUGAAAUGCGUAGAUAUUAGGAGGAACACCAGUGGCGAAGGCGGCCUGCUGGACGAUGACUGACGUUGAGGCUCGAAAGCGUGGGGAGCAAACAGGAUUAGAUACCCGUGUAC